UUCAAGCCCCAGGACCAGCAGAAAAGAAAAAGAACAGGAAAGCAAGGUAGCCCAACAAUGUCUCUAAUGAACUAAUUUCUUCCCUGAAGAAGAAAACUGAGUGACACACAUAUCCACAGGUCUACAAUGCCUCUUCCCAUUCGGACAGCUGUCCCCAUAGGCACUAGGGCUGUUCUAUGUAGGGGUCUAUAAAAAUGCAAGGCGACCUCUGGAUUGGUCACAUUCCACCAAUACUUUUAGGAAGCAAAAGAAAUAGGCCCUUUUUCUUUCCAGUGUGUGUGUGGGGGGUGGAUAGGGGGACUGGAGG
Perognathus longimembris pacificus (Pacific pocket mouse) is the source of this 307-nucleotide long non-coding RNA. RefSeq lists it as uncharacterized. Lineage: Eukaryota; Metazoa; Chordata; Mammalia; Rodentia; Heteromyidae. The record is from RefSeq and is a predicted model, not a curated record. The transcript is spliced from 3 exons.